GCCAGUGACUGUCCAUCAGACAAAGUUUACAAGCCUUGUGGUCCUGCCGAACAGCCAACCUGCGAAGACAAUCCCGAUGAACCUACCAUGAACUACACCACCGAAGGCUGCUUUUGUCCAGAUGGAAUGAAGCUCUUUAACAAAGAGUCUGGAAUAUGUGUUGAAAAGUGUGGAUGUCUUGAUCCUGACGGUGUUCCUCGUGAGUUCAAUGAGAG
This is a long non-coding RNA of Stegastes partitus (bicolor damselfish), 215 nucleotides long. RefSeq lists it as uncharacterized. The record is from RefSeq and is a predicted model, not a curated record. Lineage: Eukaryota; Metazoa; Chordata; Actinopteri; Pomacentridae. The transcript is spliced from 4 exons.